Molecule: ribosomal RNA, 453 nt
Filed under: uncultured bacterium
Lineage: Bacteria
Description: bacterial SSU rRNA
Rfam family: Bacterial small subunit ribosomal RNA
Source: RNAcentral
AGUUUGAUCAUGGCUCAGAACGAACGCUGGCGGCAAGGCUUAACACAUGCAAGUCGAACGCGUGUAGCAAUACAGAGUGGCGCACGGGUGCGUAACGCGUGGGAAUAUGCCCUUCACUGCGGAAUAACGUUUGGAAACGAACGCUAAUACCGCAUAAUGACUCCGGUCCAAAGAUUUAUCGGUGAAGGAUUAGCCCGCGUUAGAUUAGCUAGUUGGUGAGGUAACGGCUCACCAAGGCUACGAUCUAUAGCUGGUCUGAGAGGAUGAUCAGCCACACUGGGACUGAGACACGGCCCAGACUCCUACGGGAGGCAGCAGUGAGGAAUAUUGGACAAUGGGGGCAACCCUGAUCCAGCCAUGCCGCGUGAGUGAAGAAGGCCUUCGGGUUGUAAAGCUCUUUCAGUUGUAAAGAUAAUGACGGUAACAACAGAAGAAGCCCCGGCUAAAUUCGUG